UGGGUCCUACGGGAGGCAGCAGUGGGGAAUAUUGCACAAUGGGGGGAACCCUGAUGCAGCGACGCCGCGUGGGUGAAGAAGUCAUUCGUGACGUAAAGCCCUAUCAGCAGGGAAGAAAAUGACGGUACCUGACUAAGAAGCCCCGGCUAACUACGUGCCAGCAGCCGCGGUAAUACGUAGGGGGCAAGCGUUAUCCGGAUUUACCGGGUGUAAAGGGAGCGUAGACGGCGGCGCAAGUCCGGAGUGAAAGCCCACGGCCCAACCGUGGGACUGCUCUGGAAACUGUGUGGCUAGAGUGCAGGAGG
Molecule: ribosomal RNA, 305 nt
Filed under: uncultured bacterium
Lineage: Bacteria
Description: bacterial SSU rRNA
Rfam family: Bacterial small subunit ribosomal RNA
Source: RNAcentral